RNAcentral lists this transfer RNA (58 nucleotides) under Dipodomys ordii (Ord's kangaroo rat). It matches the Rfam family "tRNA", at positions 8 to 63 of the family's 71-position model. Rfam says of the family: Transfer RNA (tRNA) molecules are approximately 80 nucleotides in length. Their secondary structure includes four short double-helical elements and three loops (D, anti-codon, and T loops). Further hydrogen bonds mediate the characteristic L-shaped molecular structure. tRNAs have two regions of fundamental functional importance: the anti-codon, which is responsible for specific mRNA codon recognition, and the 3' end, to which the tRNAs corresponding amino acid is attached (by aminoacyl-tRNA synthetases). tRNAs cope with the degeneracy of the genetic code in two manners: having more than one tRNA (with a specific anti-codon) for a particular amino acid; and 'wobble' base-pairing, i.e. permitting non-standard base-pairing at the 3rd anti-codon position. The record is from Rfam by way of RNAcentral. Lineage: Eukaryota; Metazoa; Chordata; Mammalia; Rodentia; Heteromyidae.
UAGCUCAGUGGUAGAGCGCUUGCCUUGCAUGCAUGAGGCUCUGGGUUAGAUCCCUCAG